UGGGCGUAAGGGCUCGCAGGCGGUUUCUUAAGUCUGAUGUGAAAGCCCCCGGCUCAACCGGGGAGGGUCAUUGGAAACUGGGGAACUUGAGUGCAGAAGAGGAGAGUGGAAUUCCACGUGUAGCGGUGAAAUGCGUAGAGAUGUGGAGGAACACCAGUGGCGAAGGCGACUCUCUGGUCUGUAACUGACGCUGAGGAGCGAAAGCGUGGGGAGCGAACAGGAUUAGAUACCCUGGUAGUCCACGCCGUAAACGAUGAGUGCUAAGUGUUAGGGGGUUUCCGCCCCUUAGUGCUGCAGCUAACGCAUUAAGCACUCCGCCUGGGGAGUACGGUCGCAAGACUGAAACUCAAAGGAAUUGACGGGGGCCCGCACAAGCGGUGGAGCAUGUGGUUUAAUUCGAAGCAACGCGAAGAACCUUACCAGGUCUUGACAUCCUCUGACAAUCCUAGAGAUAGGACGUCCCCUUCGGGGGCAGAGUGACAGGUGGUGCAUGGUUGUCGUCAGCUCGUGUCGUGAGAUGUUGGGUUAAGUCCCGCAACGAGCGCAACCCUUGAUCUUAGUUGCCAGCAUUCAGUUGGGCACUCUAAGGUGACUGCCGGUGACAAACCGGAGGAAGGUGGGGAUGACGUCAAAUCAUCAUGCCCCUUAUGACCUGGGCUACACACGUGCUACAAUGGACAGAACAAAGGGCAGCGAAACCGCGAGGUUAAGCCAAUCCCACAAAUCUGUUCUCAG
This 735-nucleotide ribosomal RNA is filed under the name Bacillus subtilis. RNAcentral's name for it is "bacterial SSU rRNA". It matches the Rfam family "Bacterial small subunit ribosomal RNA", at positions 555 to 1291 of the family's 1533-position model. The record is from RNAcentral. Lineage: Bacteria; Bacillati; Bacillota; Bacilli; Caryophanales; Bacillaceae.